UAAUUUCUAGGUCUUAAAAAGAUUAGAUUAUCUUUUUAAUGAGUAUUUAUUAGAAUAUUAUACAUAUCUUUGUGGCACCCUUCUCAUAACAGUGCCAACCUGAGAUCAGGAUUACAGAGAUCCGGAGUUCGGAGAGCAGGAAUACUGGCAUCCAUAAUACGGAGAUCUAGAGUACAAAGAUCCAGAGUACAGAGAGCAGGAAGACGGAGAUCCAGAAUACAGAGUGAAGGAGGACAGAGUUCCAGAAUACAGAGUGCAGGAGGACAGAGUUCCAGAAUACAGAGAACAGAAACACCGAGAUCCAGAGUACAGAGAGCAGAAGUACAGAGAACCAGAGUACAGAGAUCUGGAGUAGGGAGAUCUAGAGUACAGAGAGCAGGAGUACUGAGAUCCAGAAUACAGAGAACGGGAGUGAUGAAAUCCGGAGUACCGAGAGUGGGAGUCCUGAGAGCAGGAGUACAGAGAGUGGGAGUCCUGAGAGCAGAACUACAGCGAGUGGGAGUACAGAGAUCCGGAGUACAGAGAUCCGGAGUACAGAGAUCAGGAGUACAAAGGGCAGGAUUAUUGCGAUCCAGUAUAUGAGAGAUUGGGCGUACAGAGCUUGGGAGUCCCCGUUGUUCAAGUAAGGGAAGACGUUGAUAAACUUCACUCCCAAUGAGUCUGAAUAAAUAAUAAAUGAAGGUCA
RNAcentral lists this long non-coding RNA (685 nucleotides) under Mus spicilegus (steppe mouse). RNAcentral describes it as "lncRNA (ENSMSIG00000001998.1)". The record is from RNAcentral. Lineage: Eukaryota; Metazoa; Chordata; Mammalia; Rodentia; Muridae.